This 3028-nucleotide long non-coding RNA is filed under the name Vigna radiata. Its description in RNAcentral is "long non-coding RNA (VRAD_LNC000475)". The record is from RNAcentral. Lineage: Eukaryota; Viridiplantae; Streptophyta; Magnoliopsida; Fabales; Fabaceae.
AACGUUGUUGCUUCUCCACGUCAUCCUCUCUCCCAUACACCUUCUCCAACCCAACAUUUUUUCUCUGCAUAAACAAAUUUAUUAUUCUCUUUAUCUCUCUCCCAACCCACUAAUCCAUAAUACAUUCACACAACAAAUGCAACUGAGUUAUUUUGUUUUUCUGAACCAAAUCCUUCUAACCCAAAUGUUUUAUUCUUAAAUUUUCCUUCUUACAGAAGGUUUGUGACCCGUCGUUUCGGUGAUAUAUGAAAUACCAAUUUGGUUUUCCCUCUGUCAAUUUCACUUCUUCGAGCCAACUUUCUUUCUUGGAGCACUACUCCCUUUCUUCGUUUCCCAAUCCACUUGAGUCUGAAAAAAUUGUUUCUCCUUUGCUCGUUUGGUGGUGGUGAGGUGGCUUCGAGCUCGUUUGGUGGUGGUGAGGUGGCUUCGAGCUCGUUUGGUCGUCUGAGGAGGAUGUUGGAGUCUCUACACAAGGCUCAGUGGUGCGUUUCUGUCAUCUUUGUUAGGGGUUUAGUCUACGGUUGAGGGGUUUUCGUUGACGACUAUUCUAAGGUAAAGGCUUACUUGUUAUCUUUUGUUUUGUUGUCGAGGAGGUUGUCGUCGAGGUAGGGUGUCGACAAUCCCUACUGUGGAGAUUUUGUGCUAUGUGAGCGAGGUUUAUCUAAAGCAUCUUGGUGGAGGUUUUGUGUUGUGUUUCUUCUCCUACUGUCAAGGUAAGUAGGUUUCUGAUUGAACAUGAAUGUGUUGAGCCCCUAUUCUUGGUAACAGGGAGUUUAAUGAUUAAUAUUUCUUGGUGUUACGUUUUUCUAAUGUAAUUUAUCUAUUAUUGUACAAGGUUUUAGGGUUUCGAUCAGGGGCUGAGCACAAAACGUGUGGAAGGUUCCAACACAGUGGGUUAAAGUUGGUUGCAAAAGGGCUACACUCAAGUGUCCAACAGUUCAUCAUUUCCAAGUAGGUAAAGUUCAUCCUCUUGUGUUUGCCAUGUUCAUUGUGUUCUGUUAAUUGCCUUAUGAACAGAGAGUGAAUUAUAAUUGAAUUUGGAUUGUAAAGUUUGCAAUUUGAGCAAUUUGAGCAUGUAUGAAUUGCCUAUUUUGAUGAUAGCCUUGAUGGGAAAUAAAUUGUGCAAUUUGAGCAUGGAAACUAAUGUUGAUGUUGUUUUAGUUUGCUGCUAAUUGGUCUAUCUAAAAGACUAUAGCCUUAAUUGAUUAAUCCUCCCCCAAAAUAACCAUCCCCCGACUCUUUUCUGGCCACUGAUGGCCUGGACCGACCGGUCGUCCUGGAUUAUGGCGAUCGGCCUCAGACCGCUCGAUAACCACUCCUCACGUUCGUCCCCCAAAGGACUCGUCAUCUAACCUGCAACCCACCAACAUCUUGAGGUCUUGUACAGACUCGACCAUCGUCCCCUUCUGUUUGGAUGCUGCCAAACGCUCAACGUAGGUUUCAAACCUUAUCACUAGAGCUUCCUUCAAACCAUCCCAAGAACGAUUCUUGACUUUCUCCUUCCAAGCUCUGAACCAGUAACCCGCGCUCCCCUCCAUAGUGAAUUCUGCUAGGCGCACCCUUUCUCCCUCUACCACACCUUGCAACUUGAAGAACUUCUCUACCUUGGAUACCUACCCUAACAGAUCAAACCCUUCGAAAGUGGGUAGUUCUACCCUUUUCUUCCCGCAGGGUUGCACUUGGCGUUCAUCCCCUCUCUCCUUCAUCUUCCUCUCGUCGGUCCCAAUGUUGGCCUUCCUAGUUGUGGCCUCGACCACCCAACCUCCUUAUGAUUUCUCGCAAAUCUUGGCAUAUUGCUUUAUAAUCUUGGCAUAUUGUUGCAUAAUCUGGUUGCAGCGCUCCUUUCUGCGCCUUCAUUCUAUCAAUCGCAAUUUCCUUCACCCCCACACAAUUCCGACGACAUGUCUCGAUAUGGCAGUUUCUUGAAACGGCAGGUUCUGGAAUCUGGCGCCCCCACUUCGAAACGACAAUUUCUUGGUAACGUUUUUAUCCCUUCUUGAUUUUCUGACACUUGUCUCCUAAGGAUACUCGGCAACGCUCCUGAUGAUUUUGCAAUUUCUUGAUAAUCCGACAACUCCUUGAUCCUUCACCCCCACUUCAAUAACGGCAAGUCGAACCAAUUUGUUAGAUUCCUGGGUUUGGAACCUAACGAGAACUCACUCAAAAGAUAGAAACAGAAAGAAAGAAUAGGUCUUCUAUAUUAUUCACAAUAAAAGAAAGCUAUUUUACAAUGACUGGGUUGGGAGCAUAACCUUCCUGGCUGAGGGCAUAACCCUACACAACAAAAAACUCGAUACCCCCUGACACAUAACCGAGUCUUAUUUAUAGAAUUCCUCCACCUUCUAUUUUAAACCAUUAAGUCCUCUCACCCUGUAUCCUAUCACUCAUGGUUCCCUCCCAAUUGUAGGGCAUCAAUUGUAUAUAGAUGGUUAAAAUAUGCCAAACAAAGAAUAAAGUCAUACAAGCAAUGUGUUAUACUAAAAGGUGAAUGGAGUGUACAUCUCAACAAAAGAAUACCAAUCCACCGCUCAAUUAUGCACUUUCUUCAAUUUAGUUUUGCAGCUUGUCUACAAAGUUUCCAGUGGUCUAUCAAGGCCGUUUCGGUCUCCGACAAGGGGGCUGCAAUGCAACAACAAAUUCCUAACUCAAAAACCAACAUACGAGAGCACAAGCCCAUGUUGCAUGAAGGAGGCACAGGUACAUAUUCGUCCCUCUACCCAAACAACCAAACAAAAUCAAAAUAUAUCCUUAUUAAAGAAGUGUAUGAUCAAUUCAUCAAACUUGAUUAAAAGUAUGCAAAUGUAAUUUCUUCUAUAAAACAUGGAACAUAGGCAACCUUUUUUAUGGAGGAAGAAUAAAGAAACAAAAAAUGUUUUUAAAAAUCACUCCUCCCUCUCCCCGAAAGUUUACUUCAUGUUCUGUAUUUCAGAGUAGCAAAGCAUUUAAAAAAAAAUCAGGUGCUAAGAACCAAAACAGUGCGUGAAAAAUUCAACAUACCGAGCAAGUCUGCAAAUGAACCUGUCAAAAG